RNAcentral lists this long non-coding RNA (367 nucleotides) under Mytilus galloprovincialis (Mediterranean mussel). The record is from RNAcentral. Lineage: Eukaryota; Metazoa; Mollusca; Bivalvia; Mytilida; Mytilidae.
GUAUUUUGAUAAUUGUUAGAUAGGAUGCUACUAUAUUUAUGAAUUUCGAUAUUUUCAAGAUUGAUAGUCUGAUAUGGAUUUUGAUAAUCGUCAUUAUAUUGUGUUAAACUGGACUGUCGUAAAACAGAACUUUCAUCGGAGCUCUCCGUGUUAGCUCGAAAGAAACUAUUGUUGCUAUCAGAGACUCUAGAUGUGUUUUUAUGAUUGCCGUCUGACAAAGGUUCGAAAAUGACCUCAUUCUAAUGAAUUGUUCCUAUUUCAUCAUACUGUACUUCUUAGGAUAUUACAAGACUUGAUUUCGUUGCACGGUUUAAACAGUAGAAAACAUGUGACACGACAAAGCAUAUCACCAAUACUCCAAGCAAAC